GUGAGGGCUAUAUCCAGCUGCAACAUCUGUCACCCCAUUCAUCGCCAGGGUUAAUUUGACUUAUCUGGCUGGCUGGGUGGGUGUCCCCUUCCUCCCUCAUUGUGCCAUGUGCAUCCCUCCUGAACCUGCGAGCUUGGUCAAAGAGGAUGACCUUCCCUGCUAGAAGAGGACCUGUUCUUUGGUCAAGGUUAUACCAGUAGCUGUGCUCCCCUACUAGAACCUCCAAACAAGCUCUCUAGGACCAUUUAUUUUUAAGUGUUUGCCUGGUAUGUCCCAAGUCUGG
This 283-nucleotide small nuclear RNA is filed under the name Dasypus novemcinctus (nine-banded armadillo). RNAcentral describes it as "7SK RNA (ENSDNOG00000031881.1)". It matches the Rfam family "7SK RNA", at positions 5 to 285 of the family's 331-position model. Rfam says of the family: 7SK was discovered as an abundant small nuclear RNA in the mid-70s but a possible function has only recently been suggested. The record is from RNAcentral. Lineage: Eukaryota; Metazoa; Chordata; Mammalia; Cingulata; Dasypodidae.